This 90-nucleotide unclassified non-coding RNA is filed under the name Pseudomonas prosekii. Lineage: Bacteria; Pseudomonadati; Pseudomonadota; Gammaproteobacteria; Pseudomonadales; Pseudomonadaceae. The record is from RNAcentral.
UGUGGGAGCGAGCUUGCUCGCGAUGAGGCCGUCACAUCCAAUGUUUUUAGUGACUGUCAGGACCCCAUCGCGAGCAAGCUCGCUCCCACA